CUUGGUCAUUUAGAGGAGUAAAAGUCGUAACAAGGUUUCCGUAGGUGAACCUGCGGAAGGAUCAUUACAGAAAGUAAACGCGGAUCAAACCGCGAACUUCUAAACCUUUGACGAUUGACUCAUGUUGCCUCGGCGGGUUCUCCCGCCAGAGGAUACAUCAAAACUCCUGUUUUAACGGUGUUGUCUGAGCUACAAGCAACGAAUCAAAACUUUCAACAACGGAUCUCUUGGUUCUGGCAUCGAUGAAGAACGCAGCGAAAUGCGAUAAGUAGUGUGAAUUGCAGAAUUCAGUGAAUCAUCGAAUCUUUGAACGCACAUUGCGCCCCUUGGUAUCCCGAGGGGCAUGCCUGUUCGAGCGUCAUUUCACCACUCAAGCCUGGCUUGGUGUUGGGCGACGUCCCCUUUGGGGACGCGCCUCGAAACGCUCGGCGGCGUGGCACCGGCUUUAAGCGUAGCAGAAUCUUUCGCUUUGAAAGUCGGGGCCCCGUCUGCCGGAAGACCUACUCGCAAGGUUGACCUCGGAUCAGGCAGGGAUACCCGCUGAACUUAAGCAUAUCAAUAAGCGGAGGA
Molecule: ribosomal RNA, 570 nt
Filed under: uncultured Cenococcum
Lineage: Eukaryota; Fungi; Ascomycota; Dothideomycetes; Gloniales; Gloniaceae
Description: eukaryotic LSU rRNA
Rfam family: 5.8S ribosomal RNA (bases 208-361)
Source: RNAcentral